Long non-coding RNA from Oncorhynchus tshawytscha (Chinook salmon), 1930 nucleotides. Lineage: Eukaryota; Metazoa; Chordata; Actinopteri; Salmoniformes; Salmonidae. The record is from Ensembl.
AUAGCCUCAACAUGGGUAGAACUAUAAUUUUUAUAUAAUUGGAUUGUCAAGCCUUGCAUUUAUAACUCCAUAAAUUUGAGUGGUUACAUUUCUACAGCCCAAUCCAUUCAGCUUUUUACUGAAACGCGCCAGGAGUACGCUUUGUUGUUGAGUGGAUUCGAUUAAUGCCCCGGGUGAACCGGGUUAGCGUUGAUUACAUUGGUUUUGGGACCGGGCUGCCUCCCAUGUGUGAGCCAGGUGCCCCGCUUUGCCUGACGGCGAAGUCAUCUCAAAGCAAACGUGUCGUACGUUAAACAUGUGGAGUAAUGAGUAGGAUUCUGUUGUUUCACAUGCAAAAGUGAUUGAUUUUGAUAAGGCUUUAUCUGCCUUCCCAAUGAAUACUAGUUUUUGAAAUUUAGUUGAAAUAGUUUAUCUAUUUUAUGGAAAAGUGAUGUUUUCCUUGAUGACAACAUGACUGUUUGAUUUGAGAAGGGCACCCCUCUCUCUUUUUUUUGUCCCAUUCGUGUCACAGGCCAUAGCCCAGGGAUCUAAAUCAAACUCCCUUAUUGUUUCAACUGCUUAUUAGCCCAAUAUUGGACUAAAUGAGCCUAAAGUUAUUCCUUAGUCCAAGGACCUUACAUGUUCUGUUUAAAGGGAUAAUUGGCUUGAAGCCAAAACAGACAAAUACUCCAUCUAAAUGUGAAUUGAAUCUCUUGCGUUACGGUUCAAGAAACAUAAAUCCCUCCAUAUCACAUCAAAAUAUCAAAUGCUAAAUACACACUUACUCUUCUAACCGGUUUUAAAACAGUUGCAGCUGACAGUAUUUUUUUCCAGUGACAACACAUUUGUUGCGUUUACACACUGGUGUUUGGCGACGCAGAUGGCUAAUUAGCACAGGUAGUCCACUCAUCUUUUUUUCCUUAAACUAGUGUUGUAACAUGGAAAUAUGGCCAUGUGGGAACCCUAAAGGUCAAUCUGUGCUGUCAGAAACAGGCCGAGAGUGAUGGAGAGAGUGUGAACAGACCAUCAGGCACAAUGACUCAACUCCACCCCAGGACAAAGAGAAGAGGAACACUGUGCUUUCACCUUUUUCAAUCAUUUGAAAUGGACUUUUCAUCCUGAUUUUGAAGUAACAGUGUUGUGCAUUUAGUCUUUUUUGGUAAUUGCUCAGCCAAUGGAAUGAUAUGGAGGAAAUAGAAAUGCAUGUAUUGAGACAUUAACAUAAUGUUUAUUCCUUUUUGUUUGAUUUAAUUCUGUUGUCAUUUUAAAGCUUAGAGUGAAAUUCUACUUUUCAGGGUCAGUUAACUUAAUUGUUUCGCACUGGUUUUAACGUUGUUUCAUUUUCCAGAGCGAGGGCUAUGAACCUAAAAUCAUACAGUCUCUGUUUUUCCCUUUGCUCUUGGUUCACUGUAUCAACCAUUAUCGUUUCAGUGUAGCCUGGCUACUACUGGUAGUCUGUUUCUGCUUCUAAACUGUUGGCAUGACAACCAUGUAGUUUGGUUCAAUGCACAACCUUUUUGGUACUCUGCUUGUUUUCUUGGACCUCCUUUGUCCAACUUCUUAAUGAUCAUGGUUGUUUUAAUCAAAUUAAGUGUACAAAAUUGUGUCUGGUGUUUUUCCCUAGCCAUUUGAAAUCUAUUCACAAUCUUGUGAUGAUAAUGGGGGAAAACAUAAUAAAACGAGUAAUGUAACGUUUGUUUUCUGGAAAACAUUCAUGUUUUUGUAAAUCUAGUUUGGUCUGAUUUCUUUAGUGUGAGAAAUCUAAAGAACUAUGUAUAAACACACAGCUAAACAAAGGUAGAUUACAACAUUUAAAAAAAACUCAACUGAUCACAAGACUUCAUUAAAUCUCGUCGACUGAACUGCAGUUGGAACUAGUGGAUUAAUUGCUGUCCACAGUAAGUGGUGUAGCUUGGCGGAGUGACUUUACGAGUAUCUAAACACCAUAGGC